Molecule: long non-coding RNA, 528 nt
Filed under: Ananas comosus (pineapple)
Lineage: Eukaryota; Viridiplantae; Streptophyta; Magnoliopsida; Poales; Bromeliaceae
Description: long non-coding RNA (ACOM_LNC003097)
Source: RNAcentral
AAGGGAGAAAGAGAGAGAGAGAGAGAGAGAGAGUAGGUCGGAGGCCUCCAUGCUCCUAAACAGUUUUUGAUGAUGGAAUUUAUGAAUCGACGAUCGGCUCCGUUAGACUUGAUCCAGCGUAUUUGAAAUAUUUAGAAACUGAUUUUUGCAGUUUUUCGAUAUUAUUUACUUAGCAAUCAAAAGGAUUUAAUAUUAACGACUGAAAAUUAAAAUCCUAUAAAAAGUGGUGAUAUUGCACUAAAAUUUUUCAAUCAGAGAUAUUGAUCCUAUUGUUGAUAGUGUAAAAAAUUUUGUAUCAAAAUUUUAUUUGAUUUGAAUAUAUUUACGCUGUUAAACUUGAGAACGCCAGACAUCAACCAUUAAAAUUUAUUGAUUUUGAACCUUUUCGAUCAGUAAGUAAAUAAUAUCAAAAAAUCGUAAAAAUUAUUUUGUAAAAACUUCAAAUACGUUAGAUCAGCUCUAAUGGAGCGGAUCGUCGAUUCGGAAAUUCCGUAAUCGAAAAUUGUUCAGGAGCACGGAGGCUUAAUU